This 4893-nucleotide ribosomal RNA is filed under the name Triticum aestivum (bread wheat). RNAcentral's name for it is "partial small subunit ribosomal RNA". Lineage: Eukaryota; Viridiplantae; Streptophyta; Magnoliopsida; Poales; Poaceae. The record is from RNAcentral.
AUGGGACGCACGGUGGUUUCCGACGAGGAAGAGGACGACUUCAUCGAGGCCGAGGAAGAGGACGAGCCGCGGCCGUCGCGGAGGGCCAGGGAUGAUGACGACGAGCAGGACGACGACGAUGAGGAGGAUGAUGAUGAAGAUGAGGGACAGAAUGAGUACGAGAAGGAUGGCUUCAUAGUGGAUGAUGCGGAUGAAGACGAGGAAGAGGAGGAGGAGGAGGCGAGAGCUAGUGAUGAUGAAAGACGCAAGAAGAAAAAGAAAAGAAAGAAGAAGAGAGAGACGGAGGAUUUCGAGCUUGAUGAGGAUGACUACAUGUUGCUCCAGGAUAAUAACAUUACUGGCAUCACUCGUCCAAAGCCUCCUGAAAAUAAGUUUAAGCGGUUGAAGAAGGCAGGACGGGAAUCUGAAAUGGAUGGGCGCUCUGGCUUCUCCGAUCAUGACGGAGCAGGAAAAGGCCGGACUGCUGAGGAGACAGUUCGUAGCUCCUUGUUUGGUAAUGAAGAACCGUUUGAGGAGGAUUUUGUUGAGGAGGAUCAGCAGGUAGAUGAAGAUGAGGUUGGUGAAGAUGAUAUGGAUGAUGAAAUGGGCGAUUUCAUUGUGGACGAAGAGGAAAUCGAUGUGAAUGGCCAAGUUGUGAAAAGGAAGAAGGUUAAAAGAAAGCCUCUGCGACAAGCUGCAGGUGUAUCAUCAUCUGCGCUACAAGAGGCCCAUGAUAUAUUUGGGGAUGUUGAUGAGCUAUUAGCACUAAGAAAACAAGAGCUUGAGAGGGAUGCUAUUAAUUCCGGCGAGUUGAGAGGAAACAGGCUUGAAGAUGAGUUUGAACCAUUUAUUCUCGCAGAAAAGUAUAUGACACCAAAGGAUGAGCAGAUAAAAGAAACUGAUAUACCUGAGAGGAUCCAGCUGUCUGAAGAGUUAACUGGCAAUCCUAUAGAUGGCGAUGCAAAUAGAGAGGAAGAAAGUGUAUGGAUACACAACCAACUAAUCGGGGAUGCAUUUCUGUCCCUUUUUGGCAAUGGGCAAUUGAACAAGGAGAUUGAUCAGAGUGACAUCGUGAAUGUCUUGAACAUGCUACAUACCCACAAAUUUGAAGUUCCAUUCAUUGCAAUGUAUAGGAAGGAAAGUUGCAUGAGUCUGAUAAAAGAUAACGAUGCCAAUGAACAAGCAAAUGAAGAAGAUACGCGUAAAAUGAAGUGGCAUAAGCUGCUUUGGGCUGUUCAGACCUUAGACAGAAAGUGGCUUCUUCUUCAGAAGCGCAAGGUUGCUUUGCAGAUUUAUUAUGAGAGAAGAUAUGAUGACGAGAAACGAAGAAUAGAUGAUGUUACAAGGCAGGCACUUAAUCGACAACUCUACCACUCUAUCAUUGAUGCACUGAAGGAAGCAAAAUCAGAGAAAGAAGUGGAGGAUGUUGACGCGAAAUUCAAUUUACAUUUCCCUCCUGGUGAAGUUGAAGAAGUAGGUCAAUUUAAGCGACCAAAAAGGAAAUCCUUGUACAGUAUUUGUCACAAGGCAGGGUUGUGGGAGGUUGCUAACCAAUUUGGUCGGAGUGCUGAGCAAUUAGGCCAACAUCUAACUUUAACGAGGAUACCUGAAGCGGGCGAGCUUGACAGUGGGAAAGAUUCUCCUGAAGAUGUUGCUGCAAAUUUCACAUGCGCAAUGUUUGAAACGUCACAAGAUGUCCUUCGGGGUGCCAGACACAUGGCAGCAGUUGAGAUCGGUUGUGAGCCUAUUGUAAAAAAGCAUAUCAGGGGUAUCUUCAUGGAUAAAGCAGUUGUAUCAACAAAGCCCACACCUGAGGGCAGUUCGGUCAUAGAUGCUUACCACCAAUUAUCAGGUGUGGAGUGGCUGCAAGAGAAACCACUAAGCAAGUUUGGAGAUGCACAGUGGCUUCUUAUUCAGAAAGCAGAGGAAGAAAAGCUUCUCAAGGUUACCAUAACAUUGCCAGAGGAUGCAAAGAAAGCGCUCAUGUCUGAGGCUCGUGAGAAUUACUUAAGUGACUGUGUCAGCAAGUCUGCACAACUGUGGGAUGAGCAACGGAAGAUGAUACUGGAUGAUGCCUUCUUGAAUUUUCUACUUCCAGCAAUGGAAAAGGAAGCUCGAUCACUGUUGACAGCAAAAGCCAAAUGUUUUUUGUCUAUGGAAUAUGGGAAACAGUUCUGGGACAAAGUUUCUCUUGCUCCUUGGAAGAAGAAGGAUGCGGACAAGAAGGAUGCGGACAUUGAUCUGGAUGAUGAGUCAGAGUUACGAGUAAUGGCCUGCUGCUGGGGUCCUGGGAAGCCAGCAACCACAUUUGUAAUGCUAGACUCAUCAGGAGAAUUGGUUGAUGUUCUGUAUGCUGGUUCUAUUAGUCUUAGAUCUCAAGGUGUUGCUGAACAGCAGCGUAAGAGAAAUGACCAGCAGAGGGUUCUGAAGUUCAUGACUGACCAUUCGCCACAUGUUGUGUGUGUAGGAGCUUCGAAUUUGAACUGCAGACAACUCAAGGAUGAUAUUUAUGAGGUUAUUUUCAAAAUGGUGGAAGACCACCCAAGAGAUGUGAACCCACAAAUGGAAAAUUUCAGCAUUGUCUAUGGUGAUGAAUCUGUGCCUCGCUUGUACGAGAACUCUCGAAUAUCUUCAGAUCAGCUGCCUGCCCAGUCAGCUAUCGUGAAGCGUGCUGUGGCCCUUGGUCGGUACUUGCAAAAUCCUUUGGCGAUGGUUGCAACACUUUGUGGACCCGGGAAAGAGAUACUGUCAUGGAAACUACACCCCCUUGAACAGUUCCUUACUCCCGAUGAGAAGUAUGAAGUUGUUGAGCAAGUAAUGGUCGAUGCGACAAAUCAGAUCGGCUUUGAUGUUAAUCUUGCUGCUAGCCAUGAGUGGCAUUUUUCCACUUUGCAGUUUGUUGCUGGUCUGGGACCGCGCAAAGCUUCAGCUUUGCAGAAGGAGUUGGUAAGAGAGGGAUCCAUUUUUAGUCGCAAGGAGCUGGUGAAACCCUUAGGCAGGAAAGUAUUCAUGAAUGCGUCUGGGUUUUUACGCGUCCGACGAAGUGGUGCUGCUGCAGCUAGUGCCCAGAUCAUUGAUCUUCUUGAGGAUACAAGGAUCCAUCCUGAAUCAUAUGCGUUGGCAAAGAAUUUGGCCAAGGAUGUCUGUGCCGGGGAUGGAGUUGAAGCGAAUGAGAUGGAUGAUGAUGAGCAAGAGAUGGCAAUUGAGCAUGUGAGAGAGAAGCAGGAUCAGCUUGACCGUCUUGACAUAGAUGAAUACAGCAGAAGCAUCGGAGAUGAUAAGAGAGAAACGCUGAUUGACAUAAAGUUGGAGCUACUGUGUGGUUUCAAAGAUCGGAGGACCCCUUAUGCCGAGCCAAGUCCAGAUGAGGAGUUCUGGUUGCUUUCUGGUGAAACUGAGGACAACAUAUCAGAUGGAAGGAUUGUUCAAGUAACUGUUCGGCAUAUACAAGAUAACCGAAUAAUUUGUACCUUUGAUUCUGGGUUAAAAGCCAUAGUUAUGGGAGACAACUAUUCUGAUGAUGGCUUUGAUCUAGAAUCACUGCAGUUACAUGAAGGCGAUGUAUUAACUGGCAAAAUUAAGAAUGUGAAUAAAAAUAGGUUCAUAGUUUACCUAACAUGCAAGCAGAGUGAAAUAAAUAGAUGGCCAUUCUCGAGAAGUAACCAUGAUCCAUACUAUCGUCCACAAAAGGUGGUUCUGGCCCAGGAUGACAAGGCUCGGAAACAAAAGGAAGCGAAGAAACAUUUCAAGCCCAGGAUGAUUGUUCAUCCUCACUUUCAGAAUUUGACGGCGGAAGAGGCAAUGCAGUUCCUGGGGGACAAAGAGCCUGGCGAGAAAGUCAUUCGGCCUAGCUCUAGGGGCCCAUCAUUUCUAACGCUUACCCUGAAGAUAUUUGAUGGUGUCUUUGCACACAAGGAGAUAACCGAAAGUGGAAAGGAUCAUAAAGAUAUUACAAGUUUGCUUCGCCUCGGAAAAACACUGACCAUUGGUGAUGAAACUUUUGAAGAUCUUGAUGAGGUAAUAGACCGAUAUGUGGAUCCAUUGGUAGGCCACCUGAAAAGCAUGCUCUCUUAUCGCAAAUUCAGGAAAGGGUUAAAAGGCGAAGUUGAUGAUAUGUUGAGGGCUGAGAAAUCAGAGAAUCCAAUGAGAAUAGUCUAUUGUUUUGGCAUAUCUCAUGAACAUCCAGGCACCUUCAUAUUAUCUUACAUCAGGAGUACAAACCCACAUCAUGAGUAUGUUGGGUUAUACCCAAAGGGCUUCAGAUUCCGGAAGAAAGAUUUUGACAGCAUUGAUCGUCUUGUGUCAUAUUUUCAAAAACAUAUUGACAAACCACCACCUGAUGCUGGCCCUUCAAUGCGAAAUGUUGCGGCAAUGGUACCUAUGAAAAAUUCAGCUUGGGGUUCUGGUGGUGCGAAUGACGGAAGGAGGGGAGAUGGUGAUAAUGAUAGGGACAGACCUUUUUCUGGAAGAUCAGGAGGCAGGUUUGAUUCAAGGAACAGUUCUGGCGGCCGUGGACGUGGGCGUGGUCGGGGCCGAGGUAACUUUGGCAGUGAUGGUGAUGGUGGCGGUGGUGGAGGAUGGACUGAUAACAUAGGCAGUGGGGGAGGUGCGUGGGGCACUGGCGGAGGAUCUGGAGGCGGGGAUGCUGGAUGGGGUGGUGGGGGCGACAGCAACCGUGGCGGCGGUGGGGAUGGAGGCUGGGGCGCACCUGCUGCUGCCGCUGCCACUGACGGUGGCACAGGAGGCUGGGGUACACCUGCUGCCGCUGCUGCCACUGACGGUGGUGCCGGAGGCUGGGGAGCAGCUACUACUCCUGGUGCUGCUGGUGACGACUCAGGAUGGGGCAGCGCCAAGAAGGCCGUCCCAGCACAGGAUUCUGGAGGUGGGUGGGGGUCUGGCGGUGGGGGCUGGUGA